Long non-coding RNA from Tympanuchus pallidicinctus (lesser prairie-chicken), 22820 nucleotides. RefSeq lists it as uncharacterized. The record is from RefSeq and is a predicted model, not a curated record. The transcript has 4 exons. NCBI's taxonomy places the organism in Eukaryota, Metazoa, Chordata, Aves, Galliformes, Phasianidae.
ACGCUUAGUCAAAGCCCUUGAAAGAGUAAAUUCUGGGAGUGGGAAAGCGGCUGACGGAGAGCUUUGGAGCGUAGUUCUUUGCUCCUUUGGAGACCCCAAGGGGGGCGGUUUCCGCCCUCGGCUGGGAAACGCAGAGAGCGAGUGCACGUCGUGACUGUCUUUAUGCGGUCCGGCAGGUGCCUCCGUCUUUUUGUCAGCGUUCCGAGUGAGGGACAUGUCCCCAGGCGUUUCAGCAGGGACACGUGAGUGGCUAACCUUGCCUUCUGUGGCUCAAAGCCGCUAGUGAAAAUGCGGGGUCGGCUCCUGCCGCCACAAAAAUGCAGAGCCCGCAGUGUAAGAACGUGGCCGACAGGCCCCGAGGGCAGUCCAGCUGGGGAACGUCUCAUCCUUUCCAGACGUGCACUUUUAGGAAGAUACACACGGGUCUAAUUUCUGCACGCUGGCAACUGUGUCCUUGUUGUGGUUUCACCUGGCAGAGAGCUAAGCCCCAGACAGCUGCUUGCUGUCGCUGCCCACGUGGGUGGGUUAUGGGGGAGAACUGGCAAGGUAACCGUGUGAGAAUUCAAGGGGUUAGAGAAAGGCGUUGUGGCAGGUGGAAGCAAAGCCGCACGCACAAGCAAAGCAAACCAAGGAAUUCUUCUGCAGCUUCCCGUAGGCAGGCAGACAGACAGAGCCUGGGCUGCUUUCGGGCAAGCAGGGCUAACCACGCGUAGCAGCUUGCUGGGAAGAUGAGGCCCUCACAGCCGGCGUGAACAGCUCCUUCUUCCUUAGGCCGUCUUUUCUUGCUGUGCGUGACGUGAAAGGAGGAUGAUGUUAUUCUAGCCGUACCAAAGUCACCGGCCCGGACAUUCUCGGUGGUUCUGAACGGAUGCUUAUUGUCAGUGAGAUCAGUGCCUUUAGAAGCGAUGAGCUGCGGUUGUUUUCCUUUUGCCGGUGCUGAUGCUGGCUACUUGUGGAAUUGCCAGAAACCGGGUUGUGGAAGCAGGAUUGAGAGAACAGAGUUUUUGUUGCACGUAUUGGAAGAGAGGUGCAGUGCUUUCCCAAGAGAAGGAAUUGUGCAGGCUGUGUCAAAGUGUAAGUCACGCUGCUGGCCUGUUUUGAGAGCAGGGAAGAAAGGGCUGUGGCUGUGAGCGUUUUGCAGGGAGCCCUUUGCAGGCCCUGAAGUCUGCUGCACAGCCGGUUCUCUGUGUGUUGAGACCACUUGUGUUGGGAGCAGUGACCGAGGGGGGCAGCAGGAGAGCCUGCUUUAUGCCUUUGGUCAGUCGCUUCCUGAAGUAGAGGAGUGCCUAGCUCAAUAUUUAGGCCCAGGAGCCUGGAACGUGCUUACGCGUGACAAGGAGUGGAAUAUCAAAGAGAGCCUUGCUCUUGCAGCGCUCUGCUGUCACUGGUGGCGUGCCGAGAGCUCCUGAACGUGACGGCUGCUUCUUCCAUGGCUGUAUCAAACGCUAGGAUGAAAUGACUGGGGCCCUCUGGCGGGGACUGCCCUUGGCUGUCGGUGACUUAGCAGAGGGCUAGAGGCUGCGCACUGGAAGGGCGAGGGAUUUCCCAUCAGAUCCUCACGUGGGAGGUGCGAGCGGGUCGCUAUUGGCAAAUGAGAAGUGGAGCUGGCAGAGUUGUUAGCUGGGAUCAAAGUGCCCCUAGUGCCGCUGGUCUCCAGAAACCCCGCGUCAGACACGAGACAGCCACCAGUGCCAGCACCGGGACGUGUUUGCCCGGUGCGACUGCGUAGGAAUGGAUCAGUUUUUUUUCAUGUGAGCGCUUCCCGGAGCAAGGGAAUUGGGCAGGCAGUCAGAGGGAGGCCUGGGAAUACGAAAGAGUUAAGGAACAAGCCGGGGAGCCGAGCCCUAAGCAGUACAAAACCACGUGGGGUACGGAGUAACAUGAAAUGGCGGCUCCUCAGGGUGGAACACGGACUACGACAAAAUGGCGCCUCCCUAUGUAGCUUUUCUUUUCAGGAGGAUACACUGGACCUGCUGACUUAAAUGGAGAUAUGAGUGAGAUCAAAGGCAGAAGAGCUCUCAGUUGGCUGUACCUCUAGAGACAUGCAAGAAUUCUUUGCAAAGAUGCCAGGUAGGUAGCAACAAAGCCAUGUUGAAAAGUCCAGUGGUGGUCAAAAAGACUUCAGGGCUUUGUGGAGAUGGAUAAAAGGAUCAAGAGGGCAGAUAGUGCUCCCUUCUACCCUUCAAGUUGAGGGAAACGGUAUUGAAAGAAACAGGUGUUUUCUGGGAAAAUCAUACAGCACACAUGAACAAGUCCAGGAAAUUUACAAAUUAUGCUACGGGUAAUUUUUUUUUAUUAUUAUUAUUAUUUAUUUUUUUUUACAUCUACUAAGGGAGCCAACUGGGAAAUCUGCCUUCCUAGAUUUAUUGCCUAUAAAUAGAGAAGUCUUGUAGUUGAAGUGUUUAGUGGCUGUCAUGGGAAAAGUGGCCAUGAAAUCUUUAAGUAUUAAAUCCUUGCUGAUUUGCAAAAAACUAUCAGCUUUCUGAGAUUUUAGGAAAGAAGAAUUGCUCACGAAACAGUAAGGUUUCCCGCAAAUUCACUUUUGAAGGCACAGUGGGGUUCAUAAAUAUUGCUCAUCUUUUAAGAACCUUCUUUUAUGAAAGCAGGAGCAAGCAUGGACAGUUCUGGUGUGUCACAAGUGGAGUAAGUGGGACAGAAGGUUGUCUGGGUGAUGAGAAACUUCUCUUGAAUUUACAUAAGGGAAAAAAAAUGUAUGAACCUUCGAAGCAAGGCCUGGGUAGACAGGAGGACUAUAGAGAUGCUGUUUGCUAUUGCAGGGAGAAAAUGAAUACAGUUAACACUCAGUUGUAGUUGAAGUUGGCCAGUGCAGUGUUGAUGAACAAGAAAGACUUUUUAAAGUAUGUUUAAUAGCCAGAGGAAGAAUAUAGAAAACUGUUAAGUUAAUUCAUAAGGUCACCUCACAAAAAGGGGUGAAUAUAAAGCUGAAAUGUUUAAUGCCUUCUUUUGGUUUAAUGGAGCCCUGGCCUGGAAUACCAUGUUUGGGUGAGAAAUAAGCUUCUAGCUGAAGCUGAGCUUGUUCAGGAUUUCCUGCUUCAGUUGAAUGCAUGUAAGUCUAUGGGGCCUGAUGAGGUAUGUCCCAGAGUACUGAAAAUGCUGGUCUAUGUUACUGUGAGAACACUCACAGUUAUGAAUAAUCUUGGGAAUAUGGAGAGUCCUAGUCAACUGGGAAGUUGCCUUGCUCCAAUUACAGGAGAGAGUGGAGAUUAUUUUAUAUAUAUAUAUACACACAAGGGAGAGGAUAAGACACAAUGGGUCAAAUAUCACCCUGAAGAGUUUAUUACAAAUCCUAGUUGUUUAGGGAAGUGGGACAGGAAGAUGGGCGAUAAAAAAGAGUUAGGAAAUACAAUGAGGGAAUUUUUGGAGAAAGCAAGAGAGAGAUAGUCAUAGUUGAGAUUCUAGCAUAGCUCAUAGCUCAUAAUCCAGAGAAAAUACUCUGUAUCAGACAUAGGAAUAAAAAUUAUGGCAGAAAGCUUCGCAAAAAGCUUAUGGGAAAAAAUUUCUGUGCUACCAGACAACCACAAGAGACAACUUUUAAGUUGCAAGGUUAAGAUGUUUCCCAAUGCUUCAUAUCAGAAUUUCAAUUCUAACAUUUUGGGGGAAUUUUAAAGCUUUCCAUGUUUUGUACACUUCUAAACAGAAUUUGGCACCUGGAAUAGUAAAACUGUCUAAUGGUAAGAGGAAUCAAGUCAAUAUGAUGAUCAUCAGUGUUAACAUGCUUAAUUCCAGUUUACCACUAUCUCUUAGAUGGAUGCUACAAGGAUGUAAGCUGCAGAAAUUGUGGCAGAUAAAUUUUACUUAGGAGAACUGUUUCUUCCACUGCUCUGGAAUUGUGCCAUCAGUGUCAUGAGGAGGGGCCUGUCAGGAUUAUGACAGUGACUGCACAGAGGUUGCCAAAGGAGACUUGGCCUGCUUGACCAACUGGUGUUUGUAAAUAACAUGCACAAUAUGGUAACCUUAUAGGUUACAGCAGAUACUAUCAGCUCACAUCCUCCCCACAUGCUCCAGAGCAGGGCCAUUUGGCCCAAAGUGAGGGGUAGUCCUGGUGAAUGUAUGAUACCAGCCUAUCUCCUCUCCCAACUCUGCUACAGCAUCAAAACCUAACCAGCAGUUACUACUGUGGUCUCACUGCUAAGCCCUAGGGCAGGAUAUCUGAGCCCAUCAUCCCUCUUACCAGAGAACCUAAGCUCUUGAGAAGGAUGAAUAUGAAAGAUGUAGCAGCAUUCACCUGCUAUCAAAUUCCUCUGAAAGUCCCUCUGAAAGGAAACCAAAAAGGCAUUAAAAAAACUGAAUGUGUGGUUAAUUAUAUUUAAGAUGCUAUUUGCCUAUAGUAUUUAAAUGUCUGUCACAUAGUCAAGAGUAAAUGAAUAUAAUUUUACAUAUUCAGCAUUUUGAUACACAGUAGAGAACUAAAAGUGUAAUAAAGGCACAUGGGAAAUUAAUAUUUCCUCAACUUACAUAUCAAAUUCUGCAGCACCAGAUAAAAGCUUGGAAUAAGAAUUUAAGCUGCAGUAUUACAAGUGCUACUAAAUAAACCAAGAGACAUACCUAUAUUAAACAUAAGAGAAACAAAACAAAUGAUACAAGGGUUUAAUUUUUAAGAUUUGAUACAAGAUUAAUAUACUAAUAUUUUUAAUGUCCCAGUUUCAAAUUAAUAAAUAUAAAACAGUAUAAAAAUUGUUGAUAAAAGUUGAUAAAAGAGUAUACUGUGCAAGGUUAGAAAGCAAAAUUUCACUUUCAAAUAUAUGCAGGUAUGUCUUUAGGGAGAGGAUUUCUGUGUAGCUGCAACUGGACUUUCGGAAGAUGUCCAAGCUUGUGAGCUACUUGAUGUGCCGCAGCUGUGCAGUGUGCUUCUUAAGAAAAUCUUCUCACUUUGAUUCAUCUUCCAGGCUCUGAAAUGAAAAAAAAAAACAAAAAGGUUUAUUAUUAUUAAAAGAUUUAUUAUUAUUUUUUCACAUCUAAAGUUAACUCUGAAAGUAAAAGUAGCUUUUCUAAAUAUUAGGACAAUUGACAUGGACUAUAGUCACCUGGAAAAGCUGAUCCCAUUUUGUAGGUAUUUCAGAACAGACAUACAAAUUUGGGAAAUUCAUUGGUCACAACAAAAAAGUCACUGAAAGAGCUUCAUAUCAAUCAGCUCUUCUAUAUCACCAAACCCAAACACUAGCACAUGUACUGCUUUUAAACAUUAUUAUCAUCUGAUUAACUCCCCUCAACUGGGGGGAGUUGUCCUUGAAAGCAGGUCUGCGGAGAAGGACUUGAGGCUGUGGUGAAUGAAAAGCUGGACAUGAGCCAGGAGUGUACACUUGCAGUUCAAAAGGCCAACUGUGUUCUGGGCUGCAUCAAAAGAGUAGUGGUCGGUAGGGAGAGGGAAGUGAUUUUCUUGUGAUGCUCUCAUGAGGCUCCCAUCUGGAGUACUGCAUCCAGGCCUGGAGCCCCUAGAUCAAGAAGGAUGUGGAGCUCUUGGAACAAGUCCAGAGAAGGAUCACUAAGAUGAUCAGAGGGCUGGAGCAUCUCUCCUAUGAAGAAAGGCUGAGAGAACACGGCUUGUUUAGCUUGAUGAAGAGAAGGCUCCAGGGAGACCUCACUGUGGUCUUCCAAAACUUGAAUGGAGCAUAUACACAGGAGGGGGAAUGGCUGUUUACAAGGAUGGAUAGUGAUAAGACAAGGGGGAAUGAUUUUAAACUGAGGCAGGGGAAGUUUAGGUUAGAUAUUAGGAGGAAGUUUUUCAUUCAGAGAGUGGUUGUGCAAUGGAACAGGUUGCCCAAGGAGGUUGUGGAUGCCCCAACCCUGGAGGAUUCAAGUCCAAGUUGGAUGUGAUUCUGGGCAGCCUGGUCUAUAGCAACCCUGCCUAUAGCAGGGGGGAUUGAAACUUGAUGAUCAUUGUGGUCCUUUUCAAUCCAGGCCAUUCUAUUAUUCUAUGAUUCUGUGAUUUUAUGAUUCUGUGAUAUACUGUGAUUCUAUGAUUAAUAGCUUGUAGUUCAGAUGUUGGCCUUCAGUAAUGAAGGGUCAUCAGAAGUUGUGUUGUAUAGUUGACAGCAGCUACCGGUGACAGUACAAACAUAUAAGUCCAAAGUGGUUGAGUCAGUUCUCUUUGGAGUGAUAGUUUCUGAGAUUUGGACCUCAGCAGGAAAUAAUUUGCCCAUUUUCUGGGCCUUGCCAGCAGAUAAGAGGUAUCAAGGCAGCACCCACUUGCAUUUUACCUUCACAGCAUACAAUAGCAUCAUUCCCCAAUCUCCUGGACCAUGCUGCAGUUUCCUGAUCACAAAUCAGAUCUUCUGUCAGUAAACACGUAUAGUCAUUCAGAUGUAAAACUGUCCAUUAGGUGAUGUUAACUGCUACACAGUGAUAGCCACAAUUUUUUUUCGAGAUAAGUAAGAGUACUAUAGCAAAAAAUGCCCCAGAAAAUGAACUUUGAGCCAAGAAAAAAAAAAAAAAAAAAAAAAGGAGAAUCCAGUCAUAAGUAGUAAAAGUUGUUUCAGUUUUCAGGCAGGAUAAAUAAAAAAACAUUGCAGCUAUGGGUCAGUACAUUUUAUUUCCUAGCUUGCAAAAAAUAGAGGAUUAAUUAAAGAGAAUAGUCAGUAAUCGAAGAAUACAUAGGCACACAAAGGGAAAUUCAUGAAAAAAGGCAAUUAAAUUUUAUGAAAAGAUUAAACAUCUAGUGAAUAAAAAGAGAGUGUAGUAUGUUGGGUUUUUGUAUUAUAGCAAAGAUAUUGGGAGUGUUAUUCAAAACAGAAUUAAGAAAAAAAUAACGAGAAUAAAACUGAAAAAGAACAAAGUAAAAUGAGAUAAAAACAGGCAGGAAGGCUGAUUUGAAAGUGCUGUAAUGAAGAGACUAAACAGAAGCAGAAAAAACACUGCCUCAUAAAGAAUAAAUUAAAAAAAAACACUUGAAAUGAAAACAAAAAGAAAAAAAGACAUGUAUAAAAAGAAGAUGAAAGUCAAUAAAUAUUACAGAAAGUACUAAGCAAAGGCAUACUAUAGGCUACAUAACGCAUGGCGGUAGUACACAAUAAGAAUCAGAAAACCCCUAGGCUCUUUAUGGGCGUGGCUAAACAAGAAAAGCAGUACUUUCAUCAAAAAUGCAAACAGUGAUGGUGUAAAUAUUGGCAGAAUGAAACUAGGGGCAAAAAGGUAAUGUGAAGAUGAAGGGGUCGGGGCCGGUAGCGGUCAGUCUCUCCACAGCUCUGCUCUGCCACUCCAUCCUUCCUCCUCACGCUUCUCCGCUGUACCUGUGUGGGCUCUGAGCAGGCUGCAGCAUCCCUUGGGGUAUAGCGGCGUGCCCGCCGCCUCCAGCAGGGGCUGCGGGAGAGUCUCUGAGAGUCCUAGUGCUUGGAGCACCUCCUUCUUUUUCUCCUCCUGCCCAUGCUUUGUCUCCGCUCUUUGCUCGGGCGCCACCUCCUCCUCCUCACGCUCCGCCUCCUUCUCCUCCUCCCUCUCCACCGCGCGCUCCUCAGCAUCUCUCCUCGGCAUUCACGCGGCUGUUUCUCACGCUUUUCCACCCUCUUUCCCCACUGCUGGGCAGCAUCCUGCCCCGUCUCGCCCUUUCCCAGGCACGUUUUGCCCAGGACGCCUCCACCUUGCGUGCAGGGCUCAGUUGUGCCUUGUGGCAGUGCCGCUGGAGCUGGGUGGAAACGGCUGGUUUUCACACGGGGCAUUCCUGCCUUCUCCUCAGAGGCAGCCGGCAAGCCACAGUGCCAGCACCUGGGCCCCUGCCCCCCUACCGCCGGGACGAUUGUAUCAAAACAAAUGUAUUUUAACAUCAGAGCACUUUGUGGGCCAGAGGAGUUGGGCAGCCAAUUAGAGGGAAUCCUGAGAAGGCGGCUGCCAUUAGAAGAGAGGCCAAUCUCAGAGCAGUACGGAAACACGUGGCUGACCAAGUGUCACAAAAUGGUGGCUCCCGUCUGUGGAAUUCAAGCUGGAACAAAAUGGCGCCUCCGCCGGCUCAUGAAAUGGCGGCUCCUCACCCUGGGAUGCAGACUGGAACAAAAUGGCGCCUCCCUGUGUAGGUAGGUGGGAGGGAUUUUCUGUCCUGUCCCAUCCUACCGGCGGGCGGGCCCAGUAGCUCUGGGUCCUCCCCUUCACCCGCAGCUCUAUCCCUGCCCUGGCACGCACUCCUCCCAGCGCCUCCAGCUGGUAGCCGGGAAGAACGGCAGGCUGGAGGAACCGCUGUUCUGAGCAGCUACAGGCGCCGGCCGUGCUGCCCGGCGGCUCUCCGGCCGAGCGGCUGGAGGUGCUCUGCUGUGCAUCACGCGUAGCUGAACGAGCCCAAAUCCAGAAUUCGGGGCAUGUGGGAAGAUGCUAGGCAUGGCUUUUGAGGAGUGGUUUUCCGCACCGGCUCGGUUUUCUGCCAAGCCUCCACCCUCUUGAAGCUCCCCCAACCGCUGAUGUGCCAGUGGCUUUUCUGCAGACUGGGAAAGGGCAGGUCGCUGACAUGGCCUUGUGCUUACGUUGGACCGUUUCUAUUCCCCCUGAAAGUCAAAUUCUUUAUUGUGUUAGCUGGCAGGAAGGAACGCCCUGCCCAUUUCACAUCUACCCCUUUAGGAAUACAGGCAUACGUUUAACUGCUCGACCUAGCUGCCUGUGUGCCUGUUAUGUGUACUUGUUGCUGCUUAACCUGGCAGAAAACCGAACACCACGCAGUCUCCCCAGCUGCGGUGGGGAAAGUAUCGGAAGGAUGAAACUGGGAGCACACACGGGUUUAGGCAAAGACCGUUUACUCGGUAAAAGAAAACCCACGCCUGCAAGCCAAGGGAAACAUUUGCCACUUCUCUUUAAUGGGCAAGCAUCCAGCCACUUCUAGGAUCCCAGGGCUCAGUGCACAUCACAAGCUCUUCUCUCGUUCUGUAUGCAGUGUAGCUGAUGGGAAGGUUAAGAAAAGCUUUGCUUACCUUUAUGAAGUUCUUUGUGCGUUUCAACGUAUGCGUAAUUGGUAUAUAUAGCUGUGUCAGGCUGACGUUGGCCAGCAGCCUGGUGCUGUCCGAUCUGUGUCCCGUGCCAUCUUCUGGUGCACUCCCAGCCUCCUUGCGGGCAGGGUGCCGUAAGAAGCAGAAAAGUCCUGGGCUCUGUGUGGGCGCUGCUCUGCAACAAGAGCAGGAACUGCAGCAUGGAUGUGUUGGCACCACCAUUUUGGUCAAGAAAUGCAAAAGAGCCCGUCAAACUGUACGAGGCGGUACGAGGAAAAGGAGCAGUAUCCCAGACAACUGCCGAGUGUAGUAUAGCAGUACGGUACAGAGAGUAGUCCGGCAUCUAGUGUAGCUACGUAGCAAUGGAGAAAAUAUUUUCAAUUACACUGAUCAAGUCCUUUCUAUAAUUCUGGACCUGAAUACAUUGUAGAGAUUGCUGAGGUGGGCUGGCCUCGGCCAGCAGCCCAAUGCGCACCCAGCUACCGUCUCACUCAGUGUCCUCAACGGGACGGAGUAGGGUACAGGACGGGAAUUCUCGUGGGUCAAGAUAAGGCUAGGGAGCUCGCUCACCAGAGGCGGAGCAGAACAGACGUGGGGGAAGCUGCUUGAUGUCACUGCACAUUUUUGGACGUUGGACAUUUUGGAGCAUUUGGAUGGUGAGAAACGAAAGCACCAGACCGCCCUGAACUUCUUCCCCGAGCUCAAACGCCCUCCUUCACGCGUGAGUCCUGACCUCCCCGCAGCGUGAGAGGUGCAGGGGUCGGGGCCGGUAGCGGUCAGUCCCUCCACAGCUCUGCUCUGCCACUCCAUCCUUCCUCCUCACGCUUCUCCGCUGUACCUGUGUGGGCUCUGAGCAGGCUGCAGCAUCCCUUGGGGUAUAGCGGCGUGCCCGCCGCCUCCAGCAGGGGCUGCGGGAGAGUCUCUGAGAGUCCUAGUGCUUGGAGCACCUCCUUCUUUUUCUCCUCCUGCCCAUGCUUUGUCUCCGCUCUUUGCUCGGGCGCCACCUCCUCCUCCUCACGCUCCGCCUCCUUCUCCUCCUCCCUCUCCACCGCGCGCUCCUCAGCAUCUCUCCUCGGCAUUCACGCGGCUGUUUCUCACGCUUUUCCACCCUCUUUCCCCACUGCUGGGCAGCAUCCUGCCCCGUCUCGCCCUUUCCCAGGCACGUUUUGCCCAGGACGCCUCCACCUUGCGUGCAGGGCUCAGUUGUGCCUUGUGGCAGUGCCGCUGGAGCUGGGUGGAAACGGCUGGUUUUCACACGGGGCAUUCCUGCCUUCUCCUCAGAGGCAGCCGGCAAGCCACAGUGCCAGCACCUGGGCCCCUGCCCCCCUACCGCCGGGACGAUUGUAUCAAAACAAAUGUAUUUUAACAUCAGAGCACUUUGUGGGCCAGAGGAGUUGGGCAGCCAAUUAGAGGGAAUCCUGAGAAGGCGGCUGCCAUUAGAAGAGAGGCCAAUCUCAGAGCAGUACGGAAACACGUGGCUGACCAAGUGUCACAAAAUGGUGGCUCCCGUCUGUGGAAUUCAAGCUGGAACAAAAUGGCGCCUCCGCCGGCUCAUGAAAUGGCGGCUCCUCACCCUGGGAUGCAGACUGGAACAAAAUGGCGCCUCCCUGUGUAGGUAGGUGGGAGGGAUUUUCUGUCCUGUCCCAUCCUACCGGCGGGCGGGCCCAGUAGCUCUGGGUCCUCCCCUUCACCCGCAGCUCUAUCCCUGCCCUGGCACGCACUCCUCCCAGCGCCUCCAGCUGGUAGCCGGGAAGAACGGCAGGCUGGAGGAACCGCUGUUCUGAGCAGCUACAGGCGCCGGCCGUGCUGCCCGGCGGCUCUCCGGCCGAGCGGCUGGAGGUGCUCUGCUGUGCAUCACGCGUAGCUGAACGAGCCCAAAUCCAGAAUUCGGGGCAUGUGGGAAGAUGCUAGGCAUGGCUUUUGAGGAGUGGUUUUCCGCACCGGCUCGGUUUUCUGCCAAGCCUCCACCCUCUUGAAGCUCCCCCAACCGCUGAUGUGCCAGUGGCUUUUCUGCAGACUGGGAAAGGGCAGGUCGCUGACAUGGCCUUGUGCUUACGUUGGACCGUUUCUAUUCCCCCUGAAAGUCAAAUUCUUUAUUGUGUUAGCUGGCAGGAAGGAACGCCCUGCCCAUUUCACAUCUACCCCUUUAGGAAUACAGGCAUACGUUUAACUGCUCGACCUAGCUGCCUGUGUGCCUGUUAUGUGUACUUGUUGCUGCUUAACCUGGCAGAAAACCGAACACCACGCAGUCUCCCCAGCUGCGGUGGGGAAAGUAUCGGAAGGAUGAAACUGGGAGCACACACGGGUUUAGGCAAAGACCGUUUACUCGGUAAAAGAAAACCCACGCCUGCAAGCCAAGGGAAACAUUUGCCACUUCUCUUUAAUGGGCAAGCAUCCAGCCACUUCUAGGAUCCCAGGGCUCAGUGCACAUCACAAGCUCUUCUCUCGUUCUGUAUGCAGUGUAGCUGAUGGGAAGGUUAAGAAAAGCUUUGCUUACCUUUAUGAAGUUCUUUGUGCGUUUCAACGUAUGCGUAAUUGGUAUAUAUAGCUGUGUCAGGCUGACGUUGGCCAGCAGCCUGGUGCUGUCCGAUCUGUGUCCCGUGCCAUCUUCUGGUGCACUCCCAGCCUCCUUGCGGGCAGGGUGCCGUAAGAAGCAGAAAAGUCCUGGGCUCUGUGUGGGCGCUGCUCUGCAACAAGAGCAGGAACUGCAGCAUGGAUGUGUUGGCACCACCAUUUUGGUCAAGAAAUGCAAAAGAGCCCGUCAAACUGUACGAGGCGGUACGAGGAAAAGGAGCAGUAUCCCAGACAACUGCCGAGUGUAGUAUAGCAGUACGGUACAGAGAGUAGUCCGGCAUCUAGUGUAGCUACGUAGCAAUGGAGAAAAUAUUUUCAAUUACACUGAUCAAGUCCUUUCUAUAAUUCUGGACCUGAAUACAUUGUAGAGAUUGCUGAGGUGGGCUGGCCUCGGCCAGCAGCCCAAUGCGCACCCAGCUACCGUCUCACUCAGUGUCCUCAACGGGACGGAGUAGGGUACAGGACGGGAAUUCUCGUGGGUCAAGAUAAGGCUAGGGAGCUCGCUCACCAGAGGCGGAGCAGAACAGACGUGGGGGAAGCUGCUUGAUGUCACUGCACAUUUUUGGACGUUGGACAUUUUGGAGCAUUUGGAUGGUGAGAAACGAAAGCACCAGACCGCCCUGAACUUCUUCCCCGAGCUCAAACGCCCUCCUUCACGCGUGAGUCCUGACCUCCCCGCAGCGUGAGAGGUGCAGGGGUCGGGGCCGGUAGCGGUCAGUCCCUCCACAGCUCUGCUCUGCCACUCCAUCCUUCCUCCUCACGCUUCUCCGCUGUACCUGUGUGGGCUCUGAGCAGGCUGCAGCAUCCCUUGGGGUAUAGCGGCGUGCCCGCCGCCUCCAGCAGGGGCUGCGGGAGAGUCUCUGAGAGUCCUAGUGCUUGGAGCACCUCCUUCUUUUUCUCCUCCUGCCCAUGCUUUGUCUCCGCUCUUUGCUCGGGCGCCACCUCCUCCUCCUCACGCUCCGCCUCCUUCUCCUCCUCCCUCUCCACCGCGCGCUCCUCAGCAUCUCUCCUCGGCAUUCACGCGGCUGUUUCUCACGCUUUUCCACCCUCUUUCCCCACUGCUGGGCAGCAUCCUGCCCCGUCUCGCCCUUUCCCAGGCACGUUUUGCCCAGGACGCCUCCACCUUGCGUGCAGGGCUCAGUUGUGCCUUGUGGCAGUGCCGCUGGAGCUGGGUGGAAACGGCUGGUUUUCACACGGGGCAUUCCUGCCUUCUCCUCAGAGGCAGCCGGCAAGCCACAGUGCCAGCACCUGGGCCCCUGCCCCCCUACCGCCGGGACGAUUGUAUCAAAACAAAUGUAUUUUAACAUCAGAGCACUUUGUGGGCCAGAGGAGUUGGGCAGCCAAUUAGAGGGAAUCCUGAGAAGGCGGCUGCCAUUAGAAGAGAGGCCAAUCUCAGAGCAGUACGGAAACACGUGGCUGACCAAGUGUCACAAAAUGGUGGCUCCCGUCUGUGGAAUUCAAGCUGGAACAAAAUGGCGCCUCCGCCGGCUCAUGAAAUGGCGGCUCCUCACCCUGGGAUGCAGACUGGAACAAAAUGGCGCCUCCCUGUGUAGGUAGGUGGGAGGGAUUUUCUGUCCUGUCCCAUCCUACCGGCGGGCGGGCCCAGUAGCUCUGGGUCCUCCCCUUCACCCGCAGCUCUAUCCCUGCCCUGGCACGCACUCCUCCCAGCGCCUCCAGCUGGUAGCCGGGAAGAACGGCAGGCUGGAGGAACCGCUGUUCUGAGCAGCUACAGGCGCCGGCCGUGCUGCCCGGCGGCUCUCCGGCCGAGCGGCUGGAGGUGCUCUGCUGUGCAUCACGCGUAGCUGAACGAGCCCAAAUCCAGAAUUCGGGGCAUGUGGGAAGAUGCUAGGCAUGGCUUUUGAGGAGUGGUUUUCCGCACCGGCUCGGUUUUCUGCCAAGCCUCCACCCUCUUGAAGCUCCCCCAACCGCUGAUGUGCCAGUGGCUUUUCUGCAGACUGGGAAAGGGCAGGUCGCUGACAUGGCCUUGUGCUUACGUUGGACCGUUUCUAUUCCCCCUGAAAGUCAAAUUCUUUAUUGUGUUAGCUGGCAGGAAGGAACGCCCUGCCCAUUUCACAUCUACCCCUUUAGGAAUACAGGCAUACGUUUAACUGCUCGACCUAGCUGCCUGUGUGCCUGUUAUGUGUACUUGUUGCUGCUUAACCUGGCAGAAAACCGAACACCACGCAGUCUCCCCAGCUGCGGUGGGGAAAGUAUCGGAAGGAUGAAACUGGGAGCACACACGGGUUUAGGCAAAGACCGUUUACUCGGUAAAAGAAAACCCACGCCUGCAAGCCAAGGGAAACAUUUGCCACUUCUCUUUAAUGGGCAAGCAUCCAGCCACUUCUAGGAUCCCAGGGCUCAGUGCACAUCACAAGCUCUUCUCUCGUUCUGUAUGCAGUGUAGCUGAUGGGAAGGUUAAGAAAAGCUUUGCUUACCUUUAUGAAGUUCUUUGUGCGUUUCAACGUAUGCGUAAUUGGUAUAUAUAGCUGUGUCAGGCUGACGUUGGCCAGCAGCCUGGUGCUGUCCGAUCUGUGUCCCGUGCCAUCUUCUGGUGCACUCCCAGCCUCCUUGCGGGCAGGGUGCCGUAAGAAGCAGAAAAGUCCUGGGCUCUGUGUGGGCGCUGCUCUGCAACAAGAGCAGGAACUGCAGCAUGGAUGUGUUGGCACCACCAUUUUGGUCAAGAAAUGCAAAAGAGCCCGUCAAACUGUACGAGGCGGUACGAGGAAAAGGAGCAGUAUCCCAGACAACUGCCGAGUGUAGUAUAGCAGUACGGUACAGAGAGUAGUCCGGCAUCUAGUGUAGCUACGUAGCAAUGGAGAAAAUAUUUUCAAUUACACUGAUCAAGUCCUUUCUAUAAUUCUGGACCUGAAUACAUUGUAGAGAUUGCUGAGGUGGGCUGGCCUCGGCCAGCAGCCCAAUGCGCACCCAGCUACCGUCUCACUCAGUGUCCUCAACGGGACGGAGUAGGGUACAGGACGGGAAUUCUCGUGGGUCAAGAUAAGGCUAGGGAGCUCGCUCACCAGAGGCGGAGCAGAACAGACGUGGGGGAAGCUGCUUGAUGUCACUGCACAUUUUUGGACGUUGGACAUUUUGGAGCAUUUGGAUGGUGAGAAACGAAAGCACCAGACCGCCCUGAACUUCUUCCCCGAGCUCAAACGCCCUCCUUCACGCGUGAGUCCUGACCUCCCCGCAGCGUGAGAGGUGCAGGGGUCGGGGCCGGUAGCGGUCAGUCCCUCCACAGCUCUGCUCUGCCACUCCAUCCUUCCUCCUCACGCUUCUCCGCUGUACCUGUGUGGGCUCUGAGCAGGCUGCAGCAUCCCUUGGGGUAUAGCGGCGUGCCCGCCGCCUCCAGCAGGGGCUGCGGGAGAGUCUCUGAGAGUCCUAGUGCUUGGAGCACCUCCUUCUUUUUCUCCUCCUGCCCAUGCUUUGUCUCCGCUCUUUGCUCGGGCGCCACCUCCUCCUCCUCACGCUCCGCCUCCUUCUCCUCCUCCCUCUCCACCGCGCGCUCCUCAGCAUCUCUCCUCGGCAUUCACGCGGCUGUUUCUCACGCUUUUCCACCCUCUUUCCCCACUGCUGGGCAGCAUCCUGCCCCGUCUCGCCCUUUCCCAGGCACGUUUUGCCCAGGACGCCUCCACCUUGCGUGCAGGGCUCAGUUGUGCCUUGUGGCAGUGCCGCUGGAGCUGGGUGGAAACGGCUGGUUUUCACACGGGGCAUUCCUGCCUUCUCCUCAGAGGCAGCCGGCAAGCCACAGUGCCAGCACCUGGGCCCCUGCCCCCCUACCGCCGGGACGAUUGUAUCAAAACAAAUGUAUUUUAACAUCAGAGCACUUUGUGGGCCAGAGGAGUUGGGCAGCCAAUUAGAGGGAAUCCUGAGAAGGCGGCUGCCAUUAGAAGAGAGGCCAAUCUCAGAGCAGUACGGAAACACGUGGCUGACCAAGUGUCACAAAAUGGUGGCUCCCGUCUGUGGAAUUCAAGCUGGAACAAAAUGGCGCCUCCGCCGGCUCAUGAAAUGGCGGCUCCUCACCCUGGGAUGCAGACUGGAACAAAAUGGCGCCUCCCUGUGUAGGUAGGUGGGAGGGAUUUUCUGUCCUGUCCCAUCCUACCGGCGGGCGGGCCCAGUAGCUCUGGGUCCUCCCCUUCACCCGCAGCUCUAUCCCUGCCCUGGCACGCACUCCUCCCAGCGCCUCCAGCUGGUAGCCGGGAAGAACGGCAGGCUGGAGGAACCGCUGUUCUGAGCAGCUACAGGCGCCGGCCGUGCUGCCCGGCGGCUCUCCGGCCGAGCGGCUGGAGGUGCUCUGCUGUGCAUCACGCGUAGCUGAACGAGCCCAAAUCCAGAAUUCGGGGCAUGUGGGAAGAUGCUAGGCAUGGCUUUUGAGGAGUGGUUUUCCGCACCGGCUCGGUUUUCUGCCAAGCCUCCACCCUCUUGAAGCUCCCCCAACCGCUGAUGUGCCAGUGGCUUUUCUGCAGACUGGGAAAGGGCAGGUCGCUGACAUGGCCUUGUGCUUACGUUGGACCGUUUCUAUUCCCCCUGAAAGUCAAAUUCUUUAUUGUGUUAGCUGGCAGGAAGGAACGCCCUGCCCAUUUCACAUCUACCCCUUUAGGAAUACAGGCAUACGUUUAACUGCUCGACCUAGCUGCCUGUGUGCCUGUUAUGUGUACUUGUUGCUGCUUAACCUGGCAGAAAACCGAACACCACGCAGUCUCCCCAGCUGCGGUGGGGAAAGUAUCGGAAGGAUGAAACUGGGAGCACACACGGGUUUAGGCAAAGACCGUUUACUCGGUAAAAGAAAACCCACGCCUGCAAGCCAAGGGAAACAUUUGCCACUUCUCUUUAAUGGGCAAGCAUCCAGCCACUUCUAGGAUCCCAGGGCUCAGUGCACAUCACAAGCUCUUCUCUCGUUCUGUAUGCAGUGUAGCUGAUGGGAAGGUUAAGAAAAGCUUUGCUUACCUUUAUGAAGUUCUUUGUGCGUUUCAACGUAUGCGUAAUUGGUAUAUAUAGCUGUGUCAGGCUGACGUUGGCCAGCAGCCUGGUGCUGUCCGAUCUGUGUCCCGUGCCAUCUUCUGGUGCACUCCCAGCCUCCUUGCGGGCAGGGUGCCGUAAGAAGCAGAAAAGUCCUGGGCUCUGUGUGGGCGCUGCUCUGCAACAAGAGCAGGAACUGCAGCAUGGAUGUGUUGGCACCACCAUUUUGGUCAAGAAAUGCAAAAGAGCCCGUCAAACUGUACGAGGCGGUACGAGGAAAAGGAGCAGUAUCCCAGACAACUGCCGAGUGUAGUAUAGCAGUACGGUACAGAGAGUAGUCCGGCAUCUAGUGUAGCUACGUAGCAAUGGAGAAAAUAUUUUCAAUUACACUGAUCAAGUCCUUUCUAUAAUUCUGGACCUGAAUACAUUGUAGAGAUUGCUGAGGUGGGCUGGCCUCGGCCAGCAGCCCAAUGCGCACCCAGCUACCGUCUCACUCAGUGUCCUCAACGGGACGGAGUAGGGUACAGGACGGGAAUUCUCGUGGGUCAAGAUAAGGCUAGGGAGCUCGCUCACCAGAGGCGGAGCAGAACAGACGUGGGGGAAGCUGCUUGAUGUCACUGCACAUUUUUGGACGUUGGACAUUUUGGAGCAUUUGGAUGGUGAGAAACGAAAGCACCAGACCGCCCUGAACUUCUUCCCCGAGCUCAAACGCCCUCCUUCACGCGUGAGUCCUGACCUCCCCGCAGCGUGAGAGGUGCAGGGGUCGGGGCCGGUAGCGGUCAGUCCCUCCACAGCUCUGCUCUGCCACUCCAUCCUUCCUCCUCACGCUUCUCCGCUGUACCUGUGUGGGCUCUGAGCAGGCUGCAGCAUCCCUUGGGGUAUAGCGGCGUGCCCGCCGCCUCCAGCAGGGGCUGCGGGAGAGUCUCUGAGAGUCCUAGUGCUUGGAGCACCUCCUUCUUUUUCUCCUCCUGCCCAUGCUUUGUCUCCGCUCUUUGCUCGGGCGCCACCUCCUCCUCCUCACGCUCCGCCUCCUUCUCCUCCUCCCUCUCCACCGCGCGCUCCUCAGCAUCUCUCCUCGGCAUUCACGCGGCUGUUUCUCACGCUUUUCCACCCUCUUUCCCCACUGCUGGGCAGCAUCCUGCCCCGUCUCGCCCUUUCCCAGGCACGUUUUGCCCAGGACGCCUCCACCUUGCGUGCAGGGCUCAGUUGUGCCUUGUGGCAGUGCCGCUGGAGCUGGGUGGAAACGGCUGGUUUUCACACGGGGCAUUCCUGCCUUCUCCUCAGAGGCAGCCGGCAAGCCACAGUGCCAGCACCUGGGCCCCUGCCCCCCUACCGCCGGGACGAUUGUAUCAAAACAAAUGUAUUUUAACAUCAGAGCACUUUGUGGGCCAGAGGAGUUGGGCAGCCAAUUAGAGGGAAUCCUGAGAAGGCGGCUGCCAUUAGAAGAGAGGCCAAUCUCAGAGCAGUACGGAAACACGUGGCUGACCAAGUGUCACAAAAUGGUGGCUCCCGUCUGUGGAAUUCAAGCUGGAACAAAAUGGCGCCUCCGCCGGCUCAUGAAAUGGCGGCUCCUCACCCUGGGAUGCAGACUGGAACAAAAUGGCGCCUCCCUGUGUAGGUAGGUGGGAGGGAUUUUCUGUCCUGUCCCAUCCUACCGGCGGGCGGGCCCAGUAGCUCUGGGUCCUCCCCUUCACCCGCAGCUCUAUCCCUGCCCUGGCACGCACUCCUCCCAGCGCCUCCAGCUGGUAGCCGGGAAGAACGGCAGGCUGGAGGAACCGCUGUUCUGAGCAGCUACAGGCGCCGGCCGUGCUGCCCGGCGGCUCUCCGGCCGAGCGGCUGGAGGUGCUCUGCUGUGCAUCACGCGUAGCUGAACGAGCCCAAAUCCAGAAUUCGGGGCAUGUGGGAAGAUGCUAGGCAUGGCUUUUGAGGAGUGGUUUUCCGCACCGGCUCGGUUUUCUGCCAAGCCUCCACCCUCUUGAAGCUCCCCCAACCGCUGAUGUGCCAGUGGCUUUUCUGCAGACUGGGAAAGGGCAGGUCGCUGACAUGGCCUUGUGCUUACGUUGGACCGUUUCUAUUCCCCCUGAAAGUCAAAUUCUUUAUUGUGUUAGCUGGCAGGAAGGAACGCCCUGCCCAUUUCACAUCUACCCCUUUAGGAAUACAGGCAUACGUUUAACUGCUCGACCUAGCUGCCUGUGUGCCUGUUAUGUGUACUUGUUGCUGCUUAACCUGGCAGAAAACCGAACACCACGCAGUCUCCCCAGCUGCGGUGGGGAAAGUAUCGGAAGGAUGAAACUGGGAGCACACACGGGUUUAGGCAAAGACCGUUUACUCGGUAAAAGAAAACCCACGCCUGCAAGCCAAGGGAAACAUUUGCCACUUCUCUUUGAUGGGCAAGCAUCCAGCCACUUCUAGGAUCCCAGGGCUCAGUGCACAUCACAAGCUCUUCUCUCGUUCUGUAUGCAGUGUAGCUGAUGGGAAGGUUAAGAAAAGCUUUGCUUACCUUUAUGAAGUUCUUUGUGCGUUUCAACGUAUGCGUAAUUGGUAUAUAUAGCUGUGUCAGGCUGACGUUGGCCAGCAGCCUGGUGCUGUCCGAUCUGUGUCCCGUGCCAUCUUCUGGUGCACUCCCAGCCUCCUUGCGGGCAGGGUGCCGUAAGAAGCAGAAAAGUCCUGGGCUCUGUGUGGGCGCUGCUCUGCAACAAGAGCAGGAACUGCAGCAUGGAUGUGUUGGCACCACCAUUUUGGUCAAGAAAUGCAAAAGAGCCCGUCAAACUGUACGAGGCGGUACGAGGAAAAGGAGCAGUAUCCCAGACAACUGCCGAGUGUAGUAUAGCAGUACGGUACAGAGAGUAGUCCGGCAUCUAGUGUAGCUACGUAGCAAUGGAGAAAAUAUUUUCAAUUACACUGAUCAAGUCCUUUCUAUAAUUCUGGACCUGAAUACAUUGUAGAGAUUGCUGAGGUGGGCUGGCCUCGGCCAGCAGCCCAAUGCGCACCCAGCUACCGUCUCACUCAGUGUCCUCAACGGGACGGAGUAGGGUACAGGACGGGAAUUCUCGUGGGUCAAGAUAAGGCUAGGGAGCUCGCUCACCAGAGGCGGAGCAGAACAGACGUGGGGGAAGCUGCUUGAUGUCACUGCACAUUUUUGGACGUUGGACAUUUUGGAGCAUUUGGAUGGUGAGAAACGAAAGCACCAGACCGCCCUGAACUUCUUCCCCGAGCUCAAACGCCCUCCUUCACGCGUGAGUCCUGACCUCCCCGCAGCGUGAGAGGUGCAGGGGUCGGGGCCGGUAGCGGUCAGUCCCUCCACAGCUCUGCUCUGCCACUCCAUCCUUCCUCCUCACGCUUCUCCGCUGUACCUGUGUGGGCUCUGAGCAGGCUGCAGCAUCCCUUGGGGUAUAGCGGCGUGCCCGCCGCCUCCAGCAGGGGCUGCGGGAGAGUCUCUGAGAGUCCUAGUGCUUGGAGCACCUCCUUCUUUUUCUCCUCCUGCCCAUGCUUUGUCUCCGCUCUUUGCUCGGGCGCCACCUCCUCCUCCUCACGCUCCGCCUCCUUCUCCUCCUCCCUCUCCACCGCGCGCUCCUCAGCAUCUCUCCUCGGCAUUCACGCGGCUGUUUCUCACGCUUUUCCACCCUCUUUCCCCACUGCUGGGCAGCAUCCUGCCCCGUCUCGCCCUUUCCCAGGCACGUUUUGCCCAGGACGCCUCCACCUUGCGUGCAGGGCUCAGUUGUGCCUUGUGGCAGUGCCGCUGGAGCUGGGUGGAAACGGCUGGUUUUCACACGGGGCAUUCCUGCCUUCUCCUCAGAGGCAGCCGGCAAGCCACAGUGCCAGCACCUGGGCCCCUGCCCCCCUACCGCCGGGACGAUUGUAUCAAAACAAAUGUAUUUUAACAUCAGAGCACUUUGUGGGCCAGAGGAGUUGGGCAGCCAAUUAGAGGGAAUCCUGAGAAGGCGGCUGCCAUUAGAAGAGAGGCCAAUCUCAGAGCAGUACGGAAACACGUGGCUGACCAAGUGUCACAAAAUGGUGGCUCCCGUCUGUGGAAUUCAAGCUGGAACAAAAUGGCGCCUCCGCCGGCUCAUGAAAUGGCGGCUCCUCACCCUGGGAUGCAGACUGGAACAAAAUGGCGCCUCCCUGUGUAGGUAGGUGGGAGGGAUUUUCUGUCCUGUCCCAUCCUACCGGCGGGCGGGCCCAGUAGCUCUGGGUCCUCCCCUUCACCCGCAGCUCUAUCCCUGCCCUGGCACGCACUCCUCCCAGCGCCUCCAGCUGGUAGCCGGGAAGAACGGCAGGCUGGAGGAACCGCUGUUCUGAGCAGCUACAGGCGCCGGCCGUGCUGCCCGGCGGCUCUCCGGCCGAGCGGCUGGAGGUGCUCUGCUGUGCAUCACGCGUAGCUGAACGAGCCCAAAUCCAGAAUUCGGGGCAUGUGGGAAGAUGCUAGGCAUGGCUUUUGAGGAGUGGUUUUCCGCACCGGCUCGGUUUUCUGCCAAGCCUCCACCCUCUUGAAGCUCCCCCAACCGCUGAUGUGCCAGUGGCUUUUCUGCAGACUGGGAAAGGGCAGGUCGCUGACAUGGCCUUGUGCUUACGUUGGACCGUUUCUAUUCCCCCUGAAAGUCAAAUUCUUUAUUGUGUUAGCUGGCAGGAAGGAACGCCCUGCCCAUUUCACAUCUACCCCUUUAGGAAUACAGGCAUACGUUUAACUGCUCGACCUAGCUGCCUGUGUGCCUGUUAUGUGUACUUGUUGCUGCUUAACCUGGCAGAAAACCGAACACCACGCAGUCUCCCCAGCUGCGGUGGGGAAAGUAUCGGAAGGAUGAAACUGGGAGCACACACGGGUUUAGGCAAAGACCGUUUACUCGGUAAAAGAAAACCCACGCCUGCAAGCCAAGGGAAACAUUUGCCACUUCUCUUUAAUGGGCAAGCAUCCAGCCACUUCUAGGAUCCCAGGGCUCAGUGCACAUCACAAGCUCUUCUCUCGUUCUGUAUGCAGUGUAGCUGAUGGGAAGGUUAAGAAAAGCUUUGCUUACCUUUAUGAAGUUCUUUGUGCGUUUCAACGUAUGCGUAAUUGGUAUAUAUAGCUGUGUCAGGCUGACGUUGGCCAGCAGCCUGGUGCUGUCCGAUCUGUGUCCCGUGCCAUCUUCUGGUGCACUCCCAGCCUCCUUGCGGGCAGGGUGCCGUAAGAAGCAGAAAAGUCCUGGGCUCUGUGUGGGCGCUGCUCUGCAACAAGAGCAGGAACUGCAGCAUGGAUGUGUUGGCACCACCAUUUUGGUCAAGAAAUGCAAAAGAGCCCGUCAAACUGUACGAGGCGGUACGAGGAAAAGGAGCAGUAUCCCAGACAACUGCCGAGUGUAGUAUAGCAGUACGGUACAGAGAGUAGUCCGGCAUCUAGUGUAGCUACGUAGCAAUGGAGAAAAUAUUUUCAAUUACACUGAUCAAGUCCUUUCUAUAAUUCUGGACCUGAAUACAUUGUAGAGAUUGCUGAGGUGGGCUGGCCUCGGCCAGCAGCCCAAUGCGCACCCAGCUACCGUCUCACUCAGUGUCCUCAACGGGACGGAGUAGGGUACAGGACGGGAAUUCUCGUGGGUCAAGAUAAGGCUAGGGAGCUCGCUCACCAGAGGCGGAGCAGAACAGACGUGGGGGAAGCUGCUUGAUGUCACUGCACAUUUUUGGACGUUGGACAUUUUGGAGCAUUUGGAUGGUGAGAAACGAAAGCACCAGACCGCCCUGAACUUCUUCCCCGAGCUCAAACGCCCUCCUUCACGCGUGAGUCCUGACCUCCCCGCAGCGUGAGAGGUGCAGGGGUCGGGGCCGGUAGCGGUCAGUCCCUCCACAGCUCUGCUCUGCCACUCCAUCCUUCCUCCUCACGCUUCUCCGCUGUACCUGUGUGGGCUCUGAGCAGGCUGCAGCAUCCCUUGGGGUAUAGCGGCGUGCCCGCCGCCUCCAGCAGGGGCUGCGGGAGAGUCUCUGAGAGUCCUAGUGCUUGGAGCACCUCCUUCUUUUUCUCCUCCUGCCCAUGCUUUGUCUCCGCUCUUUGCUCGGGCGCCACCUCCUCCUCCUCACGCUCCGCCUCCUUCUCCUCCUCCCUCUCCACCGCGCGCUCCUCAGCAUCUCUCCUCGGCAUUCACGCGGCUGUUUCUCACGCUUUUCCACCCUCUUUCCCCACUGCUGGGCAGCAUCCUGCCCCGUCUCGCCCUUUCCCAGGCACGUUUUGCCCAGGACGCCUCCACCUUGCGUGCAGGGCUCAGUUGUGCCUUGUGGCAGUGCCGCUGGAGCUGGGUGGAAACGGCUGGUUUUCACACGGGGCAUUCCUGCCUUCUCCUCAGAGGCAGCCGGCAAGCCACAGUGCCAGCACCUGGGCCCCUGCCCCCCUACCGCCGGGAC